GAAGAAGAAGCUGGAGACUCGGCAAAUAAAAGCCUGCUUUGAGCUCCUGGAGCUAUGCCAUACUUCUUUGCUGUGAGGAUUUUCUCCUUCUGGAAACUUAAGCAAAUGACAUGAAUGGGAGACAAGUUGCUGACCUUGCUAUAAGAACAUCACUGGAACACCAAGUCAGAAAGCAAGUGGAAGAACAUUCAUUCAUGGAACAUGGUCCUCUCAUUCAGACUCUUCCCUUCACUACUAAAGAAAGACAAGCAAGGUUUCAGAUUCUUCUCAUUCCCUGUUUCUGUAAGUAACA
Molecule: small RNA, 292 nt
Filed under: Rattus norvegicus (Norway rat)
Lineage: Eukaryota; Metazoa; Chordata; Mammalia; Rodentia; Muridae
Description: uncharacterized LOC102552717
Source: RNAcentral